Molecule: ribosomal RNA, 586 nt
Filed under: uncultured bacterium
Lineage: Bacteria
Description: partial 16S ribosomal RNA
Rfam family: Bacterial small subunit ribosomal RNA
Source: RNAcentral
UGGGGAAUUUUGGACAAUGGGCGAAAGCCUGAUCCAGCAAUGCCGCGUGUGUGAAGAAGGCCUUCGGGUUGUAAAGCACUUUUGUCCGGAAAGAAAUCCUCUGGGGUUAAUACCCUCGGGGGGAUGACGGUACCGGAAGAAUAAGCACCGGCUAACUACGUGCCAGCAGCCGCGGUAAUACGUAGGGUGCAAGCGUUAAUCGGAAUUACUGGGCGUAAAGCGUGCGCAGGCGGUUUUUGUAAGACGGAUGUGAAAUCCCCGGGCUUAACCUGGGAACUGCAUUCGUGACUGCAAGGCUAGAGUAUGGCAGAGGGGGGUAGAAUUCCACGUGUAGCAGUGAAAUGCGUAGAGAUGUGGAGGAAUACCGAUGGCGAAGGCAGCCCCCUGGGCCAAUACUGACGCUCAUGCACGAAAGCGUGGGGAGCAAACAGGAUUAGAUACCCUGGUAGUCCACGCCCUAAACGAUGUCAACUAGUUGUUGGGGAUUCAUUUCCUUAGUAACGUAGCUAACGCGUGAAGUUGACCGCCUGGGGAGUACGGUCGCAAGAUUAAAACUUUAAAUGAAUUGACGGGGUCAUAGCUGUUU